Molecule: ribosomal RNA, 445 nt
Filed under: uncultured Gammaproteobacteria bacterium
Lineage: Bacteria; Pseudomonadati; Pseudomonadota; Gammaproteobacteria
Description: bacterial SSU rRNA
Rfam family: Bacterial small subunit ribosomal RNA (bases 1-395)
Source: RNAcentral
GAUAACGUUCGGAAACGGACGCUAAUACCGCAUACGUCCUACGGGAGAAAGCAGGGGACCUUCGGGCCUUGCGCUAUCAGAUGAGCCUAGGUCGGAUUAGCUAGUUGGUGGGGUAAUGGCUCACCAAGGCGACGAUCCGUAACUGGUCUGAGAGGAUGAUCAGUCACACUGGAACUGAGACACGGUCCAGACUCCUACGGGAGGCAGCAGUGGGGAAUAUUGGACAAUGGGCGAAAGCCUGAUCCAGCCAUGCCGCGUGUGUGAAGAAGGUCUUCGGAUUGUAAAGCACUUUAAGUUGGGAGGAAGGGCAGUAAAUUAAUACUUUGCUGUUUUGACGUUACCGACAGAAUAAGCACCGGCUAACUCUGUGCCAGCAGCCGCGGUAAUACGAAUCACUAGUGAAUUCGCGGCCGCCUGCAGGUCGACCAUAUGGGAGAGCUCCCAA